RNAcentral lists this ribosomal RNA (430 nucleotides) under Pseudomonadota bacterium. RNAcentral describes it as "Proteobacteria bacterium partial 16S ribosomal RNA". It matches the Rfam family "Bacterial small subunit ribosomal RNA", at positions 355 to 776 of the family's 1533-position model. Lineage: Bacteria; Pseudomonadati; Pseudomonadota. The record is from RNAcentral.
UGGGGAAUAUUGGAUAAUGGGGGGAACCCUGAUCCAGCCAUGCCGCGUGUGUGAAGAAGGCCUUAUGGUUGUAAAGCACUUUAAGCGAGGAGGAGGGUACUGGUAUUAAUACUACCAGGUACUGGACGUUACUCGCAGAAUAAGCACCGGCUAACUCUGUGCCAGCAGCCGCGGUAAUACAGAGGGUGCGAGCGUUAAUCGGAUUUACUGGGCGUAAAGCGUGCGUAGGCGGCUAAUUGAGUCGGAUGUGAAAUCCCCGAGCUUAACUUGGGAAUUGCAUUCGAUACUGGUUAGCUAGAGUGUGGGAGAGGAUGGUAGAAUUCCAGGUGUAGCGGUGAAUUGCGUAGAGAUCUGGAGGAAUACCGAUGGCGAAGGCGGCCAUCUGGCCUAACACUGACGCUGAGGUACGAAAGCAUGGGGGGCAAACAGG